UUAGAGGAAGUAAAAGUCGUAACAAGGUUUCCGUAGGUGAACCUGCGGAAGGAUCAUUAUUGAAUACACAAUGACUGUUGCUGGCUAGGUCAUUCUAGCAUGUGCACGUCUACACUCUCCACACCUGUGCACCAAUUGUAGAUAACCCUCGAAAGAGGAUUCUAUGUCUUUAAUAAUCUCAUCUAUUGUAUGUCCUUAGAAUGUAACAAAAAAAAUUAUACAACUUUCAGCAACGGAUCUCUUGGUUCUCGCAUCGAUGAAGAACGCAGCGAAUUGCGAUAAGUAAUGUGAAUUGCAGAUUUUCAGUGAAUCAUCGAAUCUUUGAACGCACCUUGCGCUCCUUGGUAUUCCGAGGAGCAUGCCUGUUUGAGUGUCAUUUAAUUAUCAACCAAAAGUCUUCAUUGGCUUUUGGCUUGGACUUGGGAUUUGCUGGCCUAGUCAGCUGUCCUUAAAAGCAUUAGCAAGUGAAGUAGACGUGCACGGCCUCUGACGUGAUAAUGAUCGUCGUGGGCUGGAAGCGUCAUAAUGAAGCUUGCUUAAAUUAAUCUCUAUUACCAUUUUGACCUCAAAUCAGGUAGGACUACCCGCUGAACUUAAGCAUAUCAAUAA
Molecule: ribosomal RNA, 609 nt
Filed under: Chamonixia sp. KRA F-2013-69
Lineage: Eukaryota; Fungi; Basidiomycota; Agaricomycetes; Boletales; Boletaceae
Description: eukaryotic LSU rRNA
Rfam family: 5.8S ribosomal RNA (bases 222-376)
Source: RNAcentral